AACCCGAGUCAACUCGGGUCAACAGCGGUCAACUCGAAGAACCGGAAUGCUUUAGUUGCACGCUAGCGAGUUCACAUUCGUGGGAUGACACUACGGAAUCACAUUUAGCUAGCUAUGCACAGGAAUAUACAGGCUGCAUUUUUCAAAACUACGGAACGGUUGGAAUAGGAGAACCCACGAGAUUUCGAGUACUUUGCGGGCGUUCAUUGUUUAGAAGUCUUAGCUUUUUGCUUCCGCUGUGCAAUGAAGAUACCGGUCCAGUCACGCCAGC
Long non-coding RNA from Helianthus annuus (common sunflower), 271 nucleotides. RefSeq lists it as uncharacterized. The record is from RefSeq and is a predicted model, not a curated record. NCBI's taxonomy places the organism in Eukaryota, Viridiplantae, Streptophyta, Magnoliopsida, Asterales, Asteraceae. The transcript is spliced from 3 exons.